CUCAACUAAAAGCAUAACUCCAAGUCUUACAGAAGGCCGCUGUUCCCAGCAGCAGCAGCCAUAAGCCCUUCUACCGACUCUAUACACGAUGUGAUUGGCCUGACCAGAGUUUAGU
Sander lucioperca (pikeperch) is the source of this 115-nucleotide long non-coding RNA. RefSeq lists it as uncharacterized. NCBI's taxonomy places the organism in Eukaryota, Metazoa, Chordata, Actinopteri, Perciformes, Percidae. The transcript has 3 exons. The record is from RefSeq and is a predicted model, not a curated record.